RNAcentral lists this ribosomal RNA (924 nucleotides) under Glutamicibacter protophormiae. RNAcentral's name for it is "bacterial SSU rRNA". It matches the Rfam family "Bacterial small subunit ribosomal RNA", at positions 67 to 1002 of the family's 1533-position model. The record is from RNAcentral. Lineage: Bacteria; Bacillati; Actinomycetota; Actinomycetes; Micrococcales; Micrococcaceae.
CGAUGAAGCCCAGCUUGCUGGGUGGAUUAGUGGCGAACGGGUGAGUAACACGUGAGUAACCUGCCCCUGACUCUGGGAUAAGCCCGGGAAACUGGGUCUAAUACCGGAUAUGACCAUGGGACGCAUGUCUUGUGGUGGAAAGAUUUAUCGGUUGGGGAUGGACUCGCGGCCUAUCAGCUUGUUGGUGAGGUAAUGGCUCACCAAGGCGACGACGGGUAGCCGGCCUGAGAGGGUGACCGGCCACACUGGGACUGAGACACGGCCCAGACUCCUACGGGAGGCAGCAGUGGGGAAUAUUGCACAAUGGGCGCAAGCCUGAUGCAGCGACGCCGCGUGAGGGAUGACGGCCUUCGGGUUGUAAACCUCUUUCAGUAGGGAAGAAGCGAGAGUGACGGUACCUGCAGAAGAAGCGCCGGCUAACUACGUGCCAGCAGCCGCGGUAAUACGUAGGGCGCAAGCGUUAUCCGGAUUUAUUGGGCGUAAAGAGCUCGUAGGCGGUUUGUCGCGUCUGCCGUGAAAGUCCGAGGCUCAACCUCGGAUCUGCGGUGGGUACGGGCAGACUAGAGUGAUGUAGGGGAGACUGGAAUUCCUGGUGUAGCGGUGAAAUGCGCAGAUAUCAGGAGGAACACCGAUGGCGAAGGCAGGUCUCUGGGCAUUUACUGACGCUGAGGAGCGAAAGCAUGGGGAGCGAACAGGAUUAGAUACCCUGGUAGUCCAUGCCGUAAACGUUGGGCACUAGGUGUGGGGGACAUUCCACGUUUUCCGCGCCGUAGCUAACGCAUUAAGUGCCCCGCCUGGGGAGUACGGCCGCAAGGCUAAAACUCAAAGGAAUUGACGGGGGCCCGCACAAGCGGCGGAGCAUGCGGAUUAAUUCGAUGCAACGCGAAGAACCUUACCAAGGCUUGACAUGUUCCAGACCGCCUC